AGCGAAACAGUGCGGUCCCAAGAA
This 24-nucleotide non-coding RNA is filed under the name Arabidopsis thaliana (thale cress). The record is from RNAcentral. Lineage: Eukaryota; Viridiplantae; Streptophyta; Magnoliopsida; Brassicales; Brassicaceae.